Molecule: long non-coding RNA, 1159 nt
Organism: Suricata suricatta (meerkat)
Lineage: Eukaryota; Metazoa; Chordata; Mammalia; Carnivora; Herpestidae
Exons: 4
Source: RefSeq, a predicted model, not a curated record
AGGGAGGCAGGUGUUUUGUCCGAGCGAGAAGUGCUCCGCCCCAUUGGAUGCUGCCCCAACGUGCCGCGGGGUCGCUCAUCCCCGCAGAGAUCUCUGCGUGACCUCCAAGUCUGCAUUCUUCUCCAGCCGCCCAAACCUUGCUCUCCCAACGACCAGCAUGAAGUUCAACCCCUUCGUGACCUGGGACCGCAGCAAAAAAUCCGCAAACGCCACUUAAACGCCCCCUCGCACGCGCGCAGGAAGAUCAUGUCCUCCCCGCUCUCCUAGGAGCCGCGGCAGAAGUAAAACGUCAGCUCCAUGCCCAUCCGCAAGCACGACGAGGUCCAGGUUCGUCUCCGCGGGCUCUAGGUAUCCAGAUGCGUGUCACUCUCGUGCCGGCUUUGCCUAAGAAAGCCGUGUGUGCCUGCACGUGGGGGAGCCAUGCCCACAGGACCCUGGCCGGUCACCUUGCAGAUGUGUCCACAGUCAUCAGAGUGUGCCUACCCAGCUUAAUGCGGAGCAUUCGGAUACGAGUCUUUAGUGGUCAUGAUUGUUCAGGAAAACAGUACACCAGCCAAGCAAACUUUAACUUUUCGAUUUAAUCCGUGGCUCCAAGUUUGCCAAGCAUUGCUCAGGAUGGCUCUUUGAACCAGAUUCUACAGGGGAAAGUGCUAAGGUGGUUUGAGGACACUCCAAAGGUCAGCAAAUAGUCCAGGUGUCCAGGUGUCCAGAAAAGAGGAGGUCGUGUACAUGGAGCGAGUGCAGCAUGGGAAGGCUAAUGGCACCACUGUUCACGUGGGCCUUUACUCCAGGUAGUUAUCACCAGGCUGAAACUGGACAAAGAUCAGAAACAAAUUCUUGAAUGCAAAGCCAAAUCUCGACAAGUUGGAAAAGAGAAAGGCAAAUAUAAGGAAGAACUUACUGAGAAAAUGCAGGAGUGAAUAUAACCCGUUGUGCAACCAUGGUUUAACUGUGGGUUUUUAGCCUUGUGUGUAUUCCUUUGAAAUUUUUCAAGAUGUCUGUCAGACAUUUCCGUCCUGUUUUGUUUUUGAUAAUGUAGCUUUGUAAAUCUGCUUUUGCUGUUUGGAUUAAUCAUUUUAUGAAUAACCGUUGAAAAUGUCUCCUAAUUCCAAAGGGAAUUUGCAUUGUUUUGUAGAUAAAAUCCAUCAUACAAUCUGUU